AGGAUUUUAGUUUAAUUAAAACAUUUGAUUUGCAAUCAAAAAUUAUUGAAAUAUAUCAAUUUAUCUUA
RNAcentral lists this transfer RNA (68 nucleotides) under Bombyx lemeepauli. Its description in RNAcentral is "tRNA-Ala". The record is from RNAcentral. Lineage: Eukaryota; Metazoa; Arthropoda; Insecta; Lepidoptera; Bombycidae.